GACGAACGCUGGCGGCGUGCUUAACACAUGCAAGUCGAACGGUAAGGCCCUUCGGGGUACACGAGUGGCGAACGGGUGAGUAACACGUGGGUGAUCUGCCCUGCACUUCGGGAUAAGCCUGGGAAACUGGGUCUAAUACCGGAUAGGACUCCUGGCUUCAUGGUUGGGGGUGGAAAGCUUUUGCGGUGUGGGAUGGGCCCGCGGCCUAUCAGCUUGUUGGUGGGGUAAUGGCCUACGAAGGCGACGACGGGUAGCCGGCCUGAGAGGGUGACCGGUCACACUGGGACUGGGAUACGGCCCAGACUCCUACGGGAGGCAGCAGUGGGGAAUAUUGCACAAUGGGCGCAAGCCUGAUGCGGCGACGCCGCGUGAGGGAUGACGGCCUUCGGGUUGUAAACCUCUUUCAGCUAUGACGAAGCGCAAGUGACGGUAGUAGCAGAAGAAGGGCCGGCCAACUACGUGCCAGCCGCCGCGGUAA
Molecule: ribosomal RNA, 478 nt
Filed under: uncultured bacterium
Lineage: Bacteria
Description: partial 16S ribosomal RNA
Rfam family: Bacterial small subunit ribosomal RNA
Source: RNAcentral